Molecule: ribosomal RNA, 253 nt
Filed under: uncultured bacterium
Lineage: Bacteria
Description: partial 16S ribosomal RNA
Rfam family: Bacterial small subunit ribosomal RNA
Source: RNAcentral
UACGUAGGGGGCAAGCGUUGUCCGGAUUUAUUGGGCGUAAAGAGCGUGUAGGCGGCCCGACAGGUCCGUUGUGAAAACUCGAGGCUCAACCUCGAGACGUCGAUGGAAACCGUCGGGCUAGAGUCCGGAAGAGGAGAGUGGAAUUCCUGGUGUAGCGGUGAAAUGCGCAGAUAUCAGGAGGAACACCCGUGGCGAAAGCGGCUCUCUGGAACGCAACUGACGCUGAGACGCGAAAGCGUGGGGAGCAAACAGG